UAAGGUUAAGUUAAUAAGGGCGCACGGUGGAUGCCUUGGCACUAGAAGCCGAAGAAGGACGUGACUAACGACGAAAUGCUUUGGGGAGCUGUAAGUAAGCGCUGAUCCAGAGAUGUCCGAAUGGGGGAACCCACUAGUUAAUGACUAGUAUCCAUAUCUGUUAAGGAUAUGAGAAGGAAGACGCAGUGAACUGAAACAUCUAAGUAGCUGCAGGAAGAGAAAGCAAAAGCGAUUGCCUUAGUAGCGGCGAGCGAAACGGCAGGAGGGCAAACCGAAGUGUUUACACUUCGGGGUUGUAGGACUGCGAUAUAGGAUUAAUCAUUAUAGAAGAAUUACCUGGGAAGGUAAGCCAAAGAGAGUAACAGCCUCGUAUUUAAAAUGAUAGAUUAACCUUAGCAGUAUCCUGAGUACGGCGAGACACGCGAAAUCUCGUCGGAAUCUGGGAGGACCAUCUCCCAACCCUAAAUACUCUCUAGUGACCGAUAGUGAACCAGUACCGUGAGGGAAAGGUGAAAAGCACCCCGGGAGGGGAGUGAAAUAGAACCUGAAACCGUGUGCCUACAACAAGUUCGAGCCCGUUAAUGGGUGAGAGCGUGCCUUUUGUAGAAUGAACCGGCGAGUUACGAUAUGAUGCGAGGUUAAGUUGAAGAGACGGAGCCGUAGGGAAACCGAGUCUUAAUAGGGCGUCAUAGUAUCAUGUUGUAGACCCGAAACCAUGUGACCUACCCAUGAGCAGGUUGAAGGUGAGGUAAAACUCACUGGAGGACCGAACCAGGGCACGUUGAAAAGUGCUUGGAUGACUUGUGGGUAGCGGAGAAAUUCCAAACGAACUUGGAGAUAGCUGGUUCUCUCCGAAAUAGCUUUAGGGCUAGCGUCGAUGUUAAGUCUCUUGGAGGUAGAGCACUGUUUGGGUGAGGGGUCCAUCCCGGAUUACCAAUCUCAGAUAAACUCCGAAUGCCAACGAGAUAUAAUCGGCAGUCAGACUGCGAGU
Molecule: ribosomal RNA, 991 nt
Filed under: Streptococcus agalactiae
Lineage: Bacteria; Bacillati; Bacillota; Bacilli; Lactobacillales; Streptococcaceae
Description: bacterial LSU rRNA
Rfam family: Bacterial large subunit ribosomal RNA
Source: RNAcentral